Non-coding RNA from Mycena vulgaris, 96 nucleotides. NCBI's taxonomy places the organism in Eukaryota, Fungi, Basidiomycota, Agaricomycetes, Agaricales, Mycenaceae. The record is from the annotation of a GenBank genome assembly.
GGCUCGGUGGUGGAUGGUCCACGCCUGUGUUCAUCAAUCCAUGACGUCCGCGACUACUUAACCGCAGGGGUGCCCGUUCGACUCGGGCCCGAGCCA